UUUUUUUUUUUUUUUAACUGAUUAAAACUACAAAAUCCUGGACAAUAUAGUAACAGAAAAAAUGAAUCAAAUUAUGACAGUCUUCAUUGUGACAUUAUCCUAUGGAAAAUAGUAGUUUACAAGUAAUUUAUGGAUUAAUUAAAAUAAUAAGAUUAUUUACCAUCACAAUAAUUGUGAAAGAUAUCAUUUUGAUGAGUUUUCAAAUGUGUAAAAAGAAUAACAAUGAUUUCAUGAAAGACAUCCAGCUAACAUUGAGUACUCUUUUGAUGAAGAACUAAGAGUCACUUCUAUGUCAGUAUCUCAAAAAAUAGUUGUUUCCAGCAUCCAAACUGUGGUUGCUCACCAUGGACAGACCCAUAAACCAAGCCAGCUGUUUGGCAGAUUUUCAUCUAUGUAAAUCCUUAUGUAAACUAAUUAUAUGGCCACAGCUUAUAAAAUUUAUAAGAAAGCAAUGACUGGACUUGUUUUUCUUAUCAGUUUCACAUAUUGAAACUUAACUGUAGAUGUUGCAAAAUUAAUCACUAGGCCAGGGAGUCUAUAAACUGUACUGUAUUGCAUAGGCAUAUAAAUGCCCAGUCCUUUUUUUUCUGCUUUAAAUACCAGCUUUAGUCCAUUCAUGUUUAGAGUUUGGAAGUAACACACACACCCACACACCCAACACAACCACAUACACCCCGAAGCCUAAAUAAAACCAGUCCACAGUAAAGCCCUUGAAAAUUAUAAGCAUAAACUGCAGCUUUAAGGAUCCAAAUGAAAUAUUCAUAUGUACUAAACAUCUUGUAUCAGGAGGUGGUUUUCUUGAUGUUGUCAUAAGUCAGCCCUUUGCUCCUUGUGCCUGCUUCAAAUACUUUUAUCCCUGGGAGCACGAGGCUUGCUUCAUCCUGCUUGCUUGUCAGCGGGGUUGAUGCACGGCAUUAUAAAAGGAAUUCUCCACAACUGCUGCUCACAGGCAGCACUUUUAGCUCUACACACACAACCUGCAAGGUUCUCUAUCAACAAAUUAUUAUUUAUACAAAGCUUCCCCAGUAAAUUGAGCCUUUCUUUUAUUAUUGCUCAUGUAGAGAAAGCAGCAUUCUCCUCAACAGUGGUAGGAUCUGGACGAGGAAUAUGCCUUGCAGCUCCUGCAUCAUUUCUCCUGGAAGGCAAUGACUUGUAGUCCAGUGCUUAACCGAGGAUGAACUGGCAGAAAGGCAGCCAAUAACUGUGCAUUAUUUACACUGUAGGCAUAUUUUAGUUGCACAGUUGUAUCCUUAAAGCUGCAUCUCCCUUAGCUGAGAGAUUUGUUGCAUUUAACUGGUUUGGCCAAAGCUGCUUCAUGUUCCACAAGCAGCUCUCAGAGACUCCCUGGAAUCAGUAGCUCAGAUUUCUAGAGAGAAAAAAGGCAAGAUUUACUUUGUGACAGAAAUGGGCAGUAGAAGCAUUGGAAAAGACUUGUGACGUAAACUGGAGAUCUGUGUGUAUUGUCUGUUUACUAUAAGAGGCCCUGAAACAGAUGGGGGUACACUAAUGUAAUUAGCACAAAUCAACAAAUAAACCAAAGGAAUUUUAAUAUCUUGGCACAAUUAUUAUUAGUAAUAGUAACAUAAAUUAUUAUUGUCUUUUUUAUGAGUCUGUCUUGUUUGGGUACCCCUACCUAUGAAUGAAAUAGAGUGAGAGUAUUUUUUAUUCUUGUAACCCAUGGCAAAUUUCUCAUGUAAAGGUUUGCAUGGGCACAAAAGCCUCUAAUUUGUGACUAGAUUGUAUUUAACACCAUGCUGAGAGACUUAAUGAAAAGAACAGUAUUAAUUAAAGUAAUAGCAAUAUCUAUUUUCUAUUCAAUUGCAAUGAUGCAUUUUUAAAUCAAUUUGUUGAAUAAAAUACAAAAUUAGGGGUGACAUUUGUAUAAUGAUGGAAUGUUGGUUGUGACAUAUCAAACAGUUUCAUAGGACACUUAACAUACCAAUCCUCUCUUCUCUCAUAUCUCCCACAGCUUCAAACCAAUCAAGUUAGGUCAUUAUACUUUCAAAGGGUGAUUGAUAUAAAUAGAUAUCUGCUAAAAUGUAUAUUGUAUUCUAAUAAGGUUCCCAAAUAUUGGCUUUUGUUUAUUUUGAUGAUUAUUUAAGGAAUAUUAUUUCUAAAUUUAAAGGAAAUUACAAGGGCAACAAACUGAAUUAUUCGUUGCUAUUCUACUAUUGAGAAUUAGAAAACUUCUGGGAGGAAAAUAUUUUGCUUACCAUUGUUACCUUAAAUUAGACAACUGACACAUAGAUAUACAUAUGCCACCACUUACUUGCUGUAAUCUUUGUAGAGUCCUCAGCAGUUCCAAAAGGUAACUUAUCCCCCCUGUUUUGUUAUGCUGAGCAGGCAGGAUAGAUCUCUAACUUUCAAUGCCCAAAAUAAGAUUAAAUUUAUUCCAUGUUAUCAGAUACUGA
Molecule: long non-coding RNA, 2411 nt
Organism: Taeniopygia guttata (zebra finch)
Lineage: Eukaryota; Metazoa; Chordata; Aves; Passeriformes; Estrildidae
Source: Ensembl